GGGGAAUAUUGCACAAUGGGCGAAAGCCUGAUGCAGCAACGCCGCGUGAGUGAUGAAGGCCUUCGGGUUGUAAAGCUCUGUCUUUUGGGACGAUAAUGACGGUACCAAAGGAGGAAGCCACGGCUAACUACGUGCCAGCAGCCGCGGUAAUACGUAGGUGGCGAGCGUUGUCCGGAAUCACUGGGCGUAAAGGGCGCGUAGGCGGUUAAUUAAGUCAGGUGUGAAAACUUUGGGCUCAACCCAGAGACUGCACCUGAUACUGGAUAACUUGAGUGCAGGAGAGGACAGUGGAAUUCCUAGUGUAGCGGUGAAAUGCGUAGAUAUUAGGAGGAAUACCAGUGGCGAAGGCGCCUUUCUGGACUGUAACUGACACUGAGGUACGAAAGCAUGGGGAGCAAAC
Molecule: ribosomal RNA, 400 nt
Filed under: uncultured bacterium
Lineage: Bacteria
Description: bacterial SSU rRNA
Rfam family: Bacterial small subunit ribosomal RNA
Source: RNAcentral